UACAUGAUGAACCGCAUCCGGCAUAAUUAUCCAUCACUGAUCCGAUGCCUACGAGUUUUCCAUAUACUUGUUCUCGCUUAUUUUACUUUCCCGCUGCUACUGUUACAAUCACUACAAAAUAUCAAAAACAUUAUUUUUGUUGUCUCUACUUUUGUUGCUGCUACCACCACUAUCAUAUUACUUCCCUACUAAACACUUUGCUGCAGAUACUAAGUUUUCAGGUGUGGUUGAAUUGACAACUCAGCCGCUAAUACUUGAGAAUAUUCUUUGGCUCCCCUUGUGUCGAAUCAAUAAAUUUGGGUUGAAUACUCUACCCUCGAAAGCUGUUGCGAUCCCUUAUACUUGUGGGUUAUCAAGGAGCCGCAGCUGGUUUCUGCGUAGAGCCCCGCUCUCUCUUGAGAAGUCGGCCGCCGCCUCCAUCGUGGGGUCGGCGGAGACUUCCACCACCACCUGGAGGAUCGAUCCGGCCGCCAACCUCCGGGAGGCGACGGAGCGGAACGCGCGGGAGGCACACGAAGAGCGGGAAGCCGCCCGCCUGGAGAAGGCGGAAGCGGACAGGGCGGAAACCGCCGCCAUGAAGAAGCUGGCGGAGGCCGAAGCCGCCACUAUGCUGAAGAAGCAGGCUGAGGAAGCCGCGUGCCGUCAGUCGGCGGUGUUUGUUGUCCUCCUGAACUCUGCGCCGCCGCCAAUGGAGUUCGUGGCGCGGACUGGGGAAGCCAGCGGCGAGCACCCUAUCAUGGAAAGGGACAACGGCGAUGUUGCCAUGCCGAAUGUGAUCAUGCCCCCGCCACCUCCUUCUGAGGAGGCGUGAGACAAGCAGCUGGCCGACCCGCCGGCGCUACCAGCCGGAAACGAGAUGGUGACGGGCCCGACUCCCGGGGUCCGCACACCCUUACGCCGCCGGCUCGCGAAGGCGGCCUCGGCGCCGCGCCCACUGGAGGCCGGCACCGCAAGCUCCUCGAUCCCGGACACCAAGGCGACCAUCGCCGCACCCACUGGGUGGGUGUGGGGAGGCGGGACGGGCCCUCUGAACAAGGCGAUUCUGGACGUUCAAGCCAAACUCCGCGUCGAGGCCGACGCUCUCAAGCUCUGCAACAAGGCGUUCCUGGAGUCACGAGAGGCCGUCCGGGUAUACUUCUUGCUUCUUUGUUUUUAAUUCUUGUAUUGCUUCGUGGGGGCGCGCCAACGCACCCACUGGGUGUAGUCCCCGAGCUGUGGGUCGGCUGCUGAGCAGGCGGCCUGGAACUCUAAUUAGCGAGCUCCAAGUACUAACAUAUUUGCUGCAGGAUUAUCAUAACCUUCGUGCGGCCGCCUUCAACUCCAGAGUCCAGGAGUUGGAUCAACGUGCCGCCGACUUGUCGGAGAGCCGGAAGGCCAAUGCCACCCUUUAACGGCAACUGGGCGAAGCCAACGCCGCGCUUCAUACCAAGGAGGUGGACUGCGGCAAGCUGGCCGAAGAGCACGAUCGGCUGGUCGUGCGACUGGUGGAGCAGGCGGAGCUUCUCCAGAAGGCUCAGAAGGAGGCGGAGGACAAGGAGGCGGGUCUUCUUGCGGAGUUCGAGAUCGAACGCUCCGCCUGGACUGACAAGGAGGCGAUGCUGACGGCCGGCGUUGGCGAAAUCAAGGAUAUGGUCGACGACUUCUUCCCAGGUCACUCUGGUGCCGCCAACCAGGCUAUCGAGGCCGACCACGAAGGACGAAGGGCAGAAGGCGAGGAGAUCGCCGCCAACGCCCCUUGCACUCUUCGCGAGCAGCUUCUCAACAUCCAGGCUCGUCUUCGGCCGACUCAUCGGAUGCUGCGCCGUCUUCAGCGUGUCGGCGCCCAGGCGAUCGCCGCCCUGUGGCCCGAUAUGCCGGCCCCGCACACCCCCAGCUGGACUGUCGACUGACUAGAGGUGGCGGCUGGCCGCCUUGAGGCGUGGAAGGGCUCCUCGGCCCGGGCCGGAGCACGCCGGGCCUUGGAGUUCGUCAAGGCUGUCAGGACCUCGAUUCCAAGCCACAUCGAUCUAGCCGGUAACACCUCAUAUCACUUUGCGGCCUCACUCACGGUAUCCCACGGGUGUCGCCUU
Molecule: non-coding RNA, 2069 nt
Organism: Triticum urartu
Lineage: Eukaryota; Viridiplantae; Streptophyta; Magnoliopsida; Poales; Poaceae
Source: RefSeq, a predicted model, not a curated record